ACAGGUGUAGUUAAUUAAAACAUUUACUUUGAAAGUAAAAGAAAAGAAUUUAUUCUUCUUUGUC
This 64-nucleotide transfer RNA is filed under the name Colpocephalum spinicollis. RNAcentral describes it as "tRNA-Ser". It matches the Rfam family "tRNA". From Rfam's summary of the family: Transfer RNA (tRNA) molecules are approximately 80 nucleotides in length. Their secondary structure includes four short double-helical elements and three loops (D, anti-codon, and T loops). Further hydrogen bonds mediate the characteristic L-shaped molecular structure. tRNAs have two regions of fundamental functional importance: the anti-codon, which is responsible for specific mRNA codon recognition, and the 3' end, to which the tRNAs corresponding amino acid is attached (by aminoacyl-tRNA synthetases). tRNAs cope with the degeneracy of the genetic code in two manners: having more than one tRNA (with a specific anti-codon) for a particular amino acid; and 'wobble' base-pairing, i.e. permitting non-standard base-pairing at the 3rd anti-codon position. Lineage: Eukaryota; Metazoa; Arthropoda; Insecta; Psocodea; Menoponidae. The record is from RNAcentral.